This 114-nucleotide ribosomal RNA is filed under the name Petromyzon marinus (sea lamprey). Lineage: Eukaryota; Metazoa; Chordata; Hyperoartia; Petromyzontiformes; Petromyzontidae. The record is from RNAcentral.
UUUGAACAAAUCACCCUCAAUGCGCCCAAUCUCAUCAGACCUCGGUAGCUAAGCAUGGUUGAGCGUGGUUAGAGCUUGGAUGGGCGACCAGACUACUACUACCUUGCAUAAAAC